UCUCCAAGUCCGACCAGCACCACCGACCCGACCAGAGCGACCAGAAACCUGGUCGUCCGAUUAGUUGUCCACUAAUCGCGAUUAGUCGGUCGACCAGGGCAUUUCUCGACCAGGGCAGCAUGAAGGUUUCUCACUUUCUCCUAACAACUUCAUUUUUUUUGUUUCAGCAGCAGGGAUUCAGCAAGAAGAAUAUGGAGUUUUGGACAAGAAGCUGGAGUUCUGGAGAGCAAAUAUCAAAAGUAUGCAGCAAUGGUGCUUCUGGGGAAAAGAGGGUAUACUUGUUCCAUGUCAAGGCUUAUGUUCUGUCGUGUCUUUACAACUGGUUGCCACUUCCAUAUCAUUUCCCAUAUUGUUUUGCAUCUUUGGUCUUUCCUUGCUUCUGCUGUAAAUACAGUAGACAACCAACUGAAGGAUGCCUGUUGCACACCCAACACAGUUUGGCAACUUCAGGAGAAAACAGGUAGGUUAGUACAAUAAUGCGGUUGUACCAAAUGAAGUCACAUGAUAAUAUGUUUUUAUUUCAUUUUAAGUCCAGAUUGCAUAGGUAGUUCAUUUUGACAGAGCAGUAGGGGAGUGCCCUACUUUUAUUAUGUUUUUUCCUCAUUUGACGAGAUUGCAUAUGAAGUUACCAACCGUAAUAUAGGGAUCCCUGCCUAGGAGUCCAUAUACCAUCCAGAUUAAACUGGUUAAGAAGGAAAACAAUGACAAGUAGAAAGGCAUGAACUCCACACUUCUCGUCCUUACAACUUGUUUCUGCAAUUGCGGGAUUGCAAAAAGGUUAAAUAAUUAGAUAAUGUGUCAAAAAAUGGAAAAAAAUAUCAAGUGCAUAAUUAUAAACUAUUUUCUUCUAGUUUUUUUUCCUUGUCUAUAUUAAUGCAUUUUUAUGUAGUAAUUUAGUAUAUGGGAAGUAUUUAUAGAGUUGUUGCAUAUCUUAUGGAACUUAUUCUAGUUUCAUACAUUUUGUCAAUCUUAGAUCAAUAUGCGUGAUUUUGUGAUGAUGCCUGUAAUUAUUUGUAUCUCAGUCCAUGUUUCUUGAGGUGCUAUAACUAAUAGUACUCACCACAGCAACAAGAGGAGAGCUGUACAUCAGCAUGGCAGACAAUACACCAAUACUUCCAACAAAUACCUUUCGUAUGUGGUGGGUGUGGAUUAUAAAGCAUGAGAUUAAUAUGGUCAUGCCGAAGAUUGCCAGAAACAGAGAUACAAUUAGGAUAACGAGCUUCUGCAAAUUUGUAUAUGCCGAUGAAUGAUAUUUCAAAGAUUACUCCUAUUGAGCUGAUGAGGAAAACUGUCAAGUUCUUCCACCCAGAGCUAACAAUUGGAAAACCAUACCAGCUAUAUGUGAGGCAGCUGAACAGAGUCAGGAUAUACGGUAUGCAUGAGAAUUCGCCUACACUAGCCUCCUUGAUUACUCUUUUAAAUGUCAAUCUGGAAACCAAAGUGAAAACAAUACAACAGUAAGUAGUAUGCCAUGCUGUGUUUAUGAUCAUAUUAGUUAAGGAUGUAAUCAUGUACAUUGGUGCUGAAUAGAGAAGCAUACAGACUGCACAUCCUGCAAAAAAGAGCCAAGGUAGUGUUAGAAGGUUGAAUUAAUUUGCUUUCAAUAUAAGCAGGGAAAACCCUUCCACUGAGAACAAUGAUGAAGUGAGCUUGAUUAGGUAGUUGUAAACAAAAAAAAACCUAUAAUUCCAAGUAUCACACGUAUGCUAGUAACCAUUUUUAUGCUCUGAAGUCUUCACUAGCCUUGCUACAGGAGGCGAGGAGCUAAAAUGAUUCAGAUACAUUGGUUACAAUAAUGCUGGCCUAUUUAUAGAAAGCAAAUAAUUUUUAAAGCAGGAGGCAAAGAUAUUGCUCAAGCCACCAUGGUAGAAUGUUACAUGUGAAUUGCCUACUUUUCUGUUCAUAUGAAAAAAUAUGUGAAUGGAAAGCAGACAAAGUCUUAGUCUUUCAUAUUUUGGCAGGCAUCUACCUAGUAGAUUCCACCUAUAAGCCUUUAAGAAUCAUAAAAGCUUUCAUGUUUGAUUGUGGUGCAUUGGGCGGCUUGGUUUGCCGGAGCAUCUGUUGUAGUUUAUUAUAUAAUAACAUUGAAUGAGAUUGCUUGACCAUGCAGA
This is a long non-coding RNA of Panicum virgatum (switchgrass), 2111 nucleotides long. RefSeq lists it as uncharacterized. The transcript is spliced from 3 exons. NCBI's taxonomy places the organism in Eukaryota, Viridiplantae, Streptophyta, Magnoliopsida, Poales, Poaceae. The record is from RefSeq and is a predicted model, not a curated record.